GCCUGGCUAACAUUCUUUAUCCAAAACUAAGACCUACCUUCUAAACUAGAUCAUAUUUUAAAACUCUACCCUCAACAGUGGUAUACCGUUGUUCGAGAGUCAUAAAUCAAUUGACAGACAACAAAUCCGACUUAAAAACUAAAACUGAGGGAAACACAUCAAAUAAAAGAGGAAAACAACGAAACAACAGAAACAAUAAAGUGCAACAAAAACCAAACGACAAUGUAAUACACAC
RNAcentral lists this long non-coding RNA (235 nucleotides) under Mytilus galloprovincialis (Mediterranean mussel). The record is from RNAcentral. Lineage: Eukaryota; Metazoa; Mollusca; Bivalvia; Mytilida; Mytilidae.